GCUAAGCCCUUAACAUUGAUAGCACCUUAUACCCUGCUUUCCGCCAGAGGACUACAAGUGAAAAACUUCAAACUCAAAGGACUUGGCGGUGUCCCAUACCAACCUAGAGGAGCCUGUCCUAUAAUCGAUACCCCCCGUUCUACCUAACCUCUACUUGCACCUUUCAGCCUAUAUACCGCCGUCGACAGUCUACCCCAUGAGGGUCUAACAGUAGACACAAUAGCUCGCCCGCUAACACGUCAGGUCAAGGUGUAGCACAUGUUGAGGAAGAGAUUGGCUACAUUUUUUAUCUUAAAAAAUACGAAAUGCAACAUGAAACCCUGCAUGAAGGUGAAUUUAGUAGUAAGAUAAACAAGAGUGUUUAUCUUAACAACGCUCUG
RNAcentral lists this ribosomal RNA (380 nucleotides) under Eremias multiocellata. RNAcentral describes it as "partial 12S ribosomal RNA". It matches the Rfam family "Bacterial small subunit ribosomal RNA", at positions 794 to 1376 of the family's 1533-position model. The record is from RNAcentral. Lineage: Eukaryota; Metazoa; Chordata; Lepidosauria; Squamata; Lacertidae.